AUUGGAGUGGCCGAUGUCAGAUUAGCUAGUUGGUGGGGUAAAGGCCUACCAAGGCAACGAUCUGUAGCUGGUCUGAGAGGAUGAUCAGCCACACUGGGACUGAGACACGGCCCAGACUCCUACGGGAGGCAGCAGUGGGGAAUUUUGGACAAUGGGGGCAACCCUGAUCCAGCCAUUCCGCGUGAGUGAAGAAGGCCUUCGGGUUGUAAAGCUCUUCAGCAGGAACGAAACGGCGAGUACUAAUACUGCUCGCUAAUGACGGUACCUGAAGAAGAAGCACCGGCUAACUACGUGCCAGCAGCCGCGGUAAUACGUAGGGUGCGAGCGUUAAUCGGAAUUACUGGGCGUAAAGCGUGCGCAGGCGGUUGUGUAAGACAGGUGUGAAAUCCCCGGGCUUAACCUGGGAACUGCGCUUGUGACUGCACAGCUAGAGUAUGGCAGAGGGGGGUGGAAUUCCACGUGUAGCAGUGAAAUGCGUAGAGAUGUGGAGGAACACCGAUGGCGAAGGG
This 509-nucleotide ribosomal RNA is filed under the name uncultured bacterium. RNAcentral's name for it is "bacterial SSU rRNA". It matches the Rfam family "Bacterial small subunit ribosomal RNA", at positions 220 to 722 of the family's 1533-position model. The record is from RNAcentral.